RNAcentral lists this long non-coding RNA (1062 nucleotides) under Pongo abelii (Sumatran orangutan). RNAcentral's name for it is "lincRNA". Lineage: Eukaryota; Metazoa; Chordata; Mammalia; Primates; Hominidae. The record is from RNAcentral.
CACCAGUGAAAGAGGGGAAGUUGCUACUGUGAUGAAUUCUGCCAUGUGGUACCAGACUGCUGCCCAGACCACAGUGUCCUCUGCAACCCUGGUAACUCACAUACAGGCCUGAUUCCACCUACAGCAAAGCUGGAUGCUAUGGUUGGCAGAGGCAAGCCCCUUGCCUGCACUUCAGGCCAAAGCCGGGAUGUGGCCUAGAUGGUUCCUAAGGUCCCUGACAGUCCUGAGAUCUUUCAUCUUGUCUAUUUCAGGUCAAAGGUGCCUACAUGUUCCUUCUAGCUUUGUUUCCCUGAUGUUCCUUGCCACCUGCUACUCCUCUCUGAGCUACUUUUCCAGGUUCCACAGGGAGAGGUUCAGCUGUCCAUGGUAGACAUGAGGGUAGAGAAUGAGAUGGUUGGGUUCCACUUACCUUUCUAUCAUCUUGCAGUAUGGAUGUCUCUUGACUGGUACCAUGUAGACUUUUGAGGGCAGACAGGAGUCUGCAGAGAGAUACUGGGGAUAUUGAGCAGCAGCAAUGGGGUUGGGAGGCAGAAAUGAGGACAGGAACAUUUACCUUGUGUUUCUCUCAGCUUCUCAGAUGACCAAGAUGGUGCUGCCGAUGGUGUUGAGGACGGAGAACCCACCAAGCCCCGUUAGGAGCCACCUAGACUGGAUGCAGAGCACAAGAAGGCUUCUACUGACUCGAGCCCCUUUAAAGGAUUCAGAACAAAGGGGCCAUUCACCCCUUCUGGGGUGCUCUGUUUUCUUUGUGGAGUUUCAAGAGUGAUGGGCGGAUUCUUCCUAGAUCUAAAGCUCUGUCUUCCUGUAUGGCAUGACCUGACCACUUUGGCUUUGGGGGAACCAGAGAUGACCCUACACUGUGAGAGGAUUUGACCUUGGCGUGUGUAAUGGCAGAUGAGAACUACAAAGAAAGGGUGGCUGAGCACAGUUUACAGGGAAUGGUCUUGGCUGGGUUUUUUUUUUUUCUCUUCUAGGAAGCUGUGAUUUAAGGAUCCUAAUUCUAGUUCAGAGAUGCAUCCUAAAGGGUCUUCUCUAUUGCUUUUUCUCCCAAAAUCAAUCUCC